UGAACGCUGGCGGCGUGCCUAAUACAUGCAAGUCGAGCGGACAGACGAGGAGCUUGCUCCUCUGACGUUAGCGGCGGACGGGUGAGUAACACGUGGAUAACCUACCUAUAAGACUGGGAUAACUUCGGGAAACCGGAGCUAAUACCGGAUAAUAUAUUGAACCGCAUGGUUCAAUAGUGAAAGACGGUUUUGCUGUCACUUAUAGAUGGAUCCGCGCCGCAUUAGCUAGUUGGUAAGGUAACGGCUUACCAAGGCAACGAUGCGUAGCCGACCUGAGAGGGUGAUCGGCCACACUGGAACUGAGACACGGUCCAGACUCCUACGGGAGGCAGCAGUAGGGAAUCUUCCGCAAUGGGCGAAAGCCUGACGGAGCAACGCCGCGUGAGUGAUGAAGGUCUUCGGAUCGUAAAACUCUGUUAUUAGGGAAGAACAAAUGUGUAAGUAACUAUGCACGUCUUGACGGUACCUAAUCAGAAAGCCACGGCUAACUACGUG
Molecule: ribosomal RNA, 495 nt
Filed under: uncultured bacterium
Lineage: Bacteria
Description: partial 16S ribosomal RNA
Rfam family: Bacterial small subunit ribosomal RNA
Source: RNAcentral